AGAAAUUUAGGAUAAGCACACAGUCCGAGCGCCUUCAAAGCACUAAGAGGGAGUGAAAGUCUCUCAUUUUCAG
This 73-nucleotide transfer RNA is filed under the name Aseraggodes kaianus (Kai sole). RNAcentral's name for it is "tRNA-Trp". Lineage: Eukaryota; Metazoa; Chordata; Actinopteri; Pleuronectiformes; Soleidae. The record is from RNAcentral.